RNAcentral lists this ribosomal RNA (559 nucleotides) under uncultured Glomus. RNAcentral describes it as "SSU rRNA". It matches the Rfam family "Eukaryotic small subunit ribosomal RNA", at positions 546 to 1106 of the family's 1831-position model. The record is from RNAcentral. Lineage: Eukaryota; Fungi; Glomeromycota; Glomeromycetes; Glomerales; Glomeraceae.
AAUUGGAGGGCAAGUCUGGUGCCAGCAGCCGCGGUAAUUCCAGCUCCAAUAGCGUAUAUUAAAGUUGUUGCAGUUAAAAAGCUCGUAGUUGAAUUUCGGGAUCAAUAUGUUGAUCGUGCUUUGGUACGUACUUGCAUCAUUGAUUUCUCCCUUCUGAUGAAUCAUGAUGCCAUUAAUUUGGUGUCGUGAGGAAUCAGGACUGUUACUUUGAAAAAAUUAGAGUGUUUAAGGCAGGCUCACGCUUGAAUACAUUAGCAUGGAAUAAUGAAAUAGGACGUUUGAUUCUAUUUUGUUGGUUUCUAGGAUCGACGUAAUGAUUAAUAGGGAUAGUUGGGGGGCGUUAGUAUUCAAUUGUCAGAGGUGAAAUUCUUGGAUUUAUUGAAGACUAACUACUGCGAAAGCAUUUGCCAAGGAUGUUUUCAUUAAUCAAGAACGAAAGUUAGGGGAUCGAAGACGAUCAGAUACCGUCGUAGUCUUAACCAUAAACUAUGCCGACUAGGGAUCGGAUGAUGUUAAUUUUUUAAUGACUCAUUCGGCACCUUACGGGAAACCAAAGUGU